Molecule: ribosomal RNA, 241 nt
Filed under: uncultured Lactobacillus sp.
Lineage: Bacteria; Bacillati; Bacillota; Bacilli; Lactobacillales; Lactobacillaceae
Description: partial 16S ribosomal RNA
Rfam family: Bacterial small subunit ribosomal RNA
Source: RNAcentral
UAACCUGCCCAAGAGAUCGGGAUAACACCUGGAAACAGAUGCUAAUACCGGAUAACAACAGAUGAUGCCUAUCAACUGUUUAAAAGAUGGUUCUGCUAUCACUCUUGGAUGGACCUGCGGUGCAUUAGCUAGUUGGUAGGGUAACGGCCUACCAAGGCGAUGAUGCAUAGCCGAGUUGAGAGACUGAUCGGCCACAUUGGGACUGAGACACGGCCCAAACUCCUACGGGAGGGCAGCAGUG